GACGAACGCUUUCUUCUUUCUUAACACAUGCAAGUCGAACGGAAAGGCCCUGCUUUUGUGGGGUGCUCGAGUGGCGAACGGGUGAGUAACACGUGAGUAACCUGCCCUUGACUUUGGGAUAACUUCAGGAAACUGGGGCUAAUACCGGAUAGGAGCUCCUGCUGCAUGGUGGGGGUUGGAAAGUUUCGGCGGUUGGGGAUGGACUCGCGGCUUAUCAGCUUGUUGGUGGGGUAGUGGCUUACCAAGGCUUUGACGGGUAGCCGGCCUGAGAGGGUGACCGGCCACAUUGGGACUGAGAUACGGCCCAGACUCCUACGGGAGGCAGCAGUGGGGAAUAUUGCACAAUGGGCGGAAGCCUGAUGCAGCAACGCCGCGUGCGGGAUGACGGCCUUCGGGUUGUAAACCGCUUUCGCCUGUGACGAAGCGUGAGUGACGGUAAUGGGUAAAGAAGCACAGGCUAACUACGGG
RNAcentral lists this ribosomal RNA (468 nucleotides) under uncultured bacterium. RNAcentral's name for it is "partial 16S ribosomal RNA". It matches the Rfam family "Bacterial small subunit ribosomal RNA", at positions 28 to 507 of the family's 1533-position model. The record is from RNAcentral.